GACGAACGCUGGCGGCGUGCUUAACACAUGCAAGUCGAACGGUGAAGCGACUUCCUUUUUGGUGGGUGUGGAUGAGCGGCGAACGGGUGAGUAAGACGUGAGUAUACUGCCCACUUUUUCUGGAUAACGGCAUGAAAGUGUGGCUAAUACGGGAUAUUCUGGGUCUGUCGCAUGAUGGGUCUGGGAAAGAUUUUGUUUCGGUGGGGGAUGGGUUCGCGGCCUAUCAGCUUGUUGGUGGGGUGAUGGCCUACCAAGGCGGUGAGGAGUAGCCGGCCUGAGAUGGUGGACGGCAACACUAGUGCUGCGAGACGGCGCAGACUACGGCGGGAAGCAGCAGGGAAGAAUACUGCACAAUGGGCGCAAGGCUGAAGCAGCGACGCCGCAGGGAGGAUGGACGCCUGCGCGUUGUGAACCGCUAUCGGCAGUGAAGCAAUCCUUACUCGUCUGUGCGUGGGUUGACGGUAGCUGGAUAAGAAGCGCCGGCUAACUACGUG
Molecule: ribosomal RNA, 494 nt
Filed under: uncultured bacterium
Lineage: Bacteria
Description: partial 16S ribosomal RNA
Rfam family: Bacterial small subunit ribosomal RNA
Source: RNAcentral